This 576-nucleotide ribosomal RNA is filed under the name Pseudomonas rhizosphaerae. RNAcentral describes it as "bacterial SSU rRNA". It matches the Rfam family "Bacterial small subunit ribosomal RNA", at positions 52 to 621 of the family's 1533-position model. Lineage: Bacteria; Pseudomonadati; Pseudomonadota; Gammaproteobacteria; Pseudomonadales; Pseudomonadaceae. The record is from RNAcentral.
CACAUGCAAGUCGAGCGGUUGAAGGGAGCUUGCUUCCUGAUUCAGCGGCGGACGGGUGAGUAAUGCCUAGGAAUCUGCCUGGUAGUGGGGGACAACGUUUCGAAAGGAACGCUAAUACCGCAUACGUCCUACGGGAGAAAGCAGGGGACCUUCGGGCCUUGCGCUAUCAGAUGAGCCUAGGUCGGAUUAGCUAGUUGGUGAGGUAAUGGCUCACCAAGGCGACGAUCCGUAACUGGUCUGAGAGGAUGAUCAGUCACACUGGAACUGAGACACGGUCCAGACUCCUACGGGAGGCAGCAGUGGGGAAUAUUGGACAAUGGGCGAAAGCCUGAUCCAGCCAUGCCGCGUGUGUGAAGAAGGUCUUCGGAUUGUAAAGCACUUUAAGUUGGGAGGAAGGGCAGUAAGCGAAUACCUUGCUGUUUUGACGUUACCGACAGAAUAAAGCACCGGCUAACUCUGUGCCAGCAGCCGCGGUAAUACAGAGGGUGCAAGCGUUAAUCGGAAUUACUGGGCGUAAAGCGCGCGUAAGGUGGUUUGUUAAGUUGGAUGUGAAAUCCCCGGGCUCAACCUGGGAAC